RNAcentral lists this long non-coding RNA (434 nucleotides) under Chelydra serpentina (North American snapping turtle). RNAcentral describes it as "lncRNA (ENSCSRG00000007940.1)". Lineage: Eukaryota; Metazoa; Chordata; Testudines; Chelydridae. The record is from RNAcentral.
GCCGGUCCCCCGCGGGGCGAGCGUGCGGCAGGGAGGCUGAGCGCCCGGCGGGUUGGGCCCUGGGGGACGCGGACCGGCCAGGAAUUGUCAAGCAGAAAUUCCAACAGCAGCGCUCCCAAGUGACUGGCAUUCAGCAGGGCCAGAAAGUACAUCCUCUCUCACUGGAACAACAGAAGGGGGCUUCUGAAAGACACUGGUUGAAAAGACUUGAUGCGUGUGCUCUUCUGGAAAAGAGAAUCUACAGAAUUAGAGGGUCAACUAAAAUGCUUGACAAGGCAGAAUGAAGAUAAAUGCAAAGAUGGCAUGUCCAAGGAAUUUUAAAAGGUGUAGACCUCCUGAUUGAAGAUUGUUGUGUAUCUUAUUCUGUUUAACUAGUAAAGUAAGUAUGAACAUUUUAAGUAUGGUAUGUAAAUAAAUAUUGAUUUUGAUAUUGA